AUCGACCGAUGCCAACGCGGGCCUCGGACACGGUUUUGUAGGCGUGGAGGUAGACCUCCUCGUAUUUGAUCGACC
RNAcentral lists this small RNA (75 nucleotides) under Sinorhizobium meliloti 2011. RNAcentral's name for it is "putative ncRNA". The record is from RNAcentral. Lineage: Bacteria; Pseudomonadati; Pseudomonadota; Alphaproteobacteria; Hyphomicrobiales; Rhizobiaceae.